This 397-nucleotide ribosomal RNA is filed under the name uncultured bacterium. Its description in RNAcentral is "partial 16S ribosomal RNA". It matches the Rfam family "Bacterial small subunit ribosomal RNA", at positions 523 to 918 of the family's 1533-position model. The record is from RNAcentral.
AUAAGUAGGGGGCGAGCGUUGUCCGGAAUGAUUGGGCGUAAAGGGCGCGUAGGCGGCCCGGUAAGUCUGGAGUGAAAGUCCUGUUUUUAAGAUGGGAAUUGCUUUGGAUACUGUCGGGCUUGAGUGCAGGAGAGGUAAGUGGAAUUCCCAGUGUAGCGGUGAAAUGCGUAGAGAUUGGGAGGAACACCAGUGGCGAAGGCGACUUACUGGGCCGUAACUGACGCUGAGGCGCGAAAGCGUGGGGAGCGAACAGGAUUAGAUACCCUGGUAGUCCACGCGGUAAACGAUGAAUGCUAGGUGUUGCGGGGAUCGACCCCUGCAGUGCCGGAGUAAACACAAUAAGCAUUCCGCCUGGGGAGUACGGCCGCAAGGUUGAAACUCAAAUGAAUUGGCGGGG